RNAcentral lists this ribosomal RNA (1350 nucleotides) under human gut metagenome. RNAcentral's name for it is "bacterial LSU rRNA". It matches the Rfam family "Bacterial large subunit ribosomal RNA", at positions 622 to 1989 of the family's 2925-position model. The record is from RNAcentral.
GGCGAGUUACUGUAUGGAGCGAGGUUAAGCAGGAUAUGCGGAGCCGAAGCGAAAGCGAGUCUUAAGAGGGCGCGAGUUGCAUGCAGUAGACCCGAAACCGGGUGAUCUAGCCAUGACCAGGUUGAAGUUGGGGUAAAACCCGAUGGAGGACCGAACCGACCCCCGUUGAAACGUUGGCGGAUGAGUUGUGGCUAGGGGUGAAAUUCCAAUCGAACCCGGAGAUAGCUGGUUCUCCCCGAAAUAGCUUUAGGGCUAGCGUCGAGGUAGAGAGUUGCGUGAAGGUAGAGCACUGAAUAUGUGAUGGCCCCAUCUCGGGGUACUGAGCAUAAUCAAACUGCGAAUGUCACGCCAACAUGCUCGGCAGUCAGACAGCGGGUGAUAAGGUCCGUUGUCAAGAGGGAAACAGCCCAGACCAUCAGCUAAGGUCCCAAAAUGUAUGCUAAGUGGAAAAGGAUGUGGAGAUGUACAGACAACUAGGAGGUUGGCUCAGAAGCAGCCAUCCUUUAAAGAGUGCGUAACAGCUCACUAGUCGAAUGACUCUGCGCCGAUAAUUUACCGGGGCUAAGCAUACUACCGAAGCUAUGGAUCCCAAGGGAUGGUAGGGGAGCGUUCCAUGAACGGAGAAGUACGACCGAAAGGACGUGUGGAGAUCAUGGAAGAGAGAAUGCCGGUGUGAGUAGCGGAACGUGGGUGAGAAUCCCACGCACCGAAAACCCAAGGUUUCCAGAGGAAGGUUCGUCCGCUCUGGGUAAGUCGGGACCUAAGGCGAGGCCGAAAGGCGUAGUCGAUGGACAACAGGUAGAGAUUCCUGUACCCGUAUAUAUGUGAAGGAAUGACGGAGAGAGGAAGCUGCAGCCAGCGGCUGGAAGAGCUGGUGCAAGCGAGAUAUCGGGAUGGCAGGCAAAUCCACCAUCCGAAACGAGAAGGCGUGAAGCGUACGGAAAGCUACGGCGAGUACGGAAGGCAGUGGAGGAACUUCCAAGAAAAGUUUCUAACGUUAAGUAUAUAUGGCCCGUACCGAAAAUGGACACACAUGGGUGAGGAGAGAAUCCUAAGGUGAGCGAGAGAACUAUAGCUAAGGAACUCUGCAAAAUGACUCCGUAACUUAGGGAGAAGGAGUGCUCAUAGAGAUAUGAGCCGCAGUGAAACGGCCCAAGCGACUGUUUACCAAAAACACAGCUCUCUGCUAAGCCGCAAGGCGAAGUAUAGGGGGUGACGCCUGCCCGGUGCUGGAAGGUUAAGGGGAGAGGUUAGCGCAAGCGAAGCUUUGAACUUAAGCCCCAGUAAACGGCGGCCGUAACUAUAACGGUCCUAAGGUAGCGAAAUUCCUUGUCGGGUAAGUUCCGACCC